RNAcentral lists this transfer RNA (72 nucleotides) under Salmo salar (Atlantic salmon). It matches the Rfam family "tRNA". Rfam says of the family: Transfer RNA (tRNA) molecules are approximately 80 nucleotides in length. Their secondary structure includes four short double-helical elements and three loops (D, anti-codon, and T loops). The record is from Rfam by way of RNAcentral. Lineage: Eukaryota; Metazoa; Chordata; Actinopteri; Salmoniformes; Salmonidae.
GCCGUGAUCGUAUAGUGGUUAGUACUCUGCGUUGUGGCCGCAGGAUCCCCGGUUCGAAUCCGGGUCACGGCA